GGAAUCUGUUCUUCAUUCUGGUGGUAAAUUUUCAGUUACUCUGCAAAGCCCUGUGAAUGCCUAUGCCUCACUUUUUCUGCAAAACACUGAAGAGAGACCCCGGGGAACUCCUUCAGCUGUGACACUGUAAUGGGAGGUGGAGACACCUCGAGGAGAAGGUCGAGACAGACAACAGCAAUUGCAGUCAACAACAUCCUGACUCGCCUCGAUUACAGAAACCUCAGAAGAACUGUACACCCUUGAAAUCUGUGUUGAUGUGUUUUAAAUUUAUGAUAUGAAGCACAUCCACUCUCAGCAGGUUGCAGGAAGGGGCCAUAAAAUCAUAACACAUCUUUGGAGGGAAAGAAGAGUUUCCCAACAGAUGGCAAAACACAAGCACAUAUACAGUGCCCUGCAAAGGUAAUUCCUUACCAGACCCUGAAACAGCUGAAGUACAGAUUGUCUGUCUUGCACACUGCUAACCUCUGUGGCAUAUUUGUACCCAGGUUCCUU
Molecule: long non-coding RNA, 492 nt
Filed under: Zonotrichia albicollis (white-throated sparrow)
Lineage: Eukaryota; Metazoa; Chordata; Aves; Passeriformes; Passerellidae
Description: lncRNA (ENSZALG00000014327.1)
Source: RNAcentral